GCAUUGGUAGUUCAGUGGUAGAUUGUCUGCCUUCCAUGGUGGAGACCUGGGUUUGAUUCCCAACCAGUACG
RNAcentral lists this transfer RNA (71 nucleotides) under Loxodonta africana (African savanna elephant). It matches the Rfam family "tRNA". From Rfam's summary of the family: Transfer RNA (tRNA) molecules are approximately 80 nucleotides in length. Their secondary structure includes four short double-helical elements and three loops (D, anti-codon, and T loops). Further hydrogen bonds mediate the characteristic L-shaped molecular structure. tRNAs have two regions of fundamental functional importance: the anti-codon, which is responsible for specific mRNA codon recognition, and the 3' end, to which the tRNAs corresponding amino acid is attached (by aminoacyl-tRNA synthetases). tRNAs cope with the degeneracy of the genetic code in two manners: having more than one tRNA (with a specific anti-codon) for a particular amino acid; and 'wobble' base-pairing, i.e. permitting non-standard base-pairing at the 3rd anti-codon position. Lineage: Eukaryota; Metazoa; Chordata; Mammalia; Proboscidea; Elephantidae. The record is from Rfam by way of RNAcentral.